UAAAUUACAAGACAAACGUAGAAGCUUCGAUAGAUAAUGAUAUU
Molecule: non-coding RNA, 44 nt
Filed under: Trypanosoma brucei brucei
Lineage: Eukaryota; Euglenozoa; Kinetoplastea; Trypanosomatida; Trypanosomatidae
Source: RNAcentral